Non-coding RNA from Bufo bufo (common toad), 271 nucleotides. RefSeq annotates it as small Cajal body-specific RNA 6. The transcript has a single exon. Lineage: Eukaryota; Metazoa; Chordata; Amphibia; Anura; Bufonidae. The record is from RefSeq and is a predicted model, not a curated record.
UGUCCGUGAUGAGCAGUAAAAGGUCUGAUUACAUUGCUGCCCCCCUGCAGCCAAGACGCUCCCAGCAGCCCCUUCUUAUACACCAGCUUCCAGUUGUGCUAUGUGUGUUUCCAGGAGUUGCUGACAUUAUUGGGUAACGUGAAUCUUGUGUCCAGAAGACAUAGGACUCAUGGCGGUUAACGUCACCCUACAUAUACCUCCCAUCUGGAGUGUGGUGUUCGGGGGCUGACUAUGUAUACAGUGUAUGAUCUUAAGUUUUCAAGCUGAGACA